AAAGUAUGUAAAACUUACUACGUCUUGGAUGCCUUAGAUUUCAGUUAUAGAAUGUCAAGCAAGUCUGGCUGACAGCACCCCAAUGUCCUCAGGUAAGGAAAACAAAAUAGAGUUGGCUGAAUUGGAGAGAAAGGAAAGAUCUUUGUGAGAAUGGGGUAUUAAAAUGAAUGCUCUAAACAGGUAGGAAAAUCAUACUUCUCUCUCUGAUCAAAGUAGACAGCAUCUAGCAUAAGCCCUAUGAUCCAUGGUGGAAAGGACAGGUCAUCUGUUUUAAGAAUAGUUUAAAUACACUGUUUUUCCUUUUCCAGCAGUGUUUGCAAAAAAUUUUCAUGUCAAAGCAGUAAUGAAGACUUCCGUGUUGCUGUCUUGGGAGAUUCCAGAGAAUUAUAACUCCGCCAUGCCUUUCAAAAUUCUUUAUGAUGAUGGGAAAAUGGUAGAAGAAGUGGAUGGCCGAGCCACACAGAAGUUAAUUGUCAACCUGAAGCCUGAGAAAUCAUAUUCAUUUGUGCUGACAAAUCGUGGAAACAGUGCUGGUGGGCUGCAGCACAGG
Molecule: small RNA, 550 nt
Filed under: Pan troglodytes (chimpanzee)
Lineage: Eukaryota; Metazoa; Chordata; Mammalia; Primates; Hominidae
Description: retained intron
Source: RNAcentral